GAAGCAAGUGAAUUUCUUCUCUUACAGGCCAUAUUCUGGAGACUAAGAUAUCGUGUGAUGUUGCUGAUGUUGGUAGCCCUGUCUCACCAGCGAUAGAAAUCAACGGCAAUGUGACAAGUCAGACUGAAUGAGGAGGGAACCAACAAUGGAAUGAGAUGAAGAGUGUUGUUGAGCAUUGUUCAGGUACUGGGUACGGUACAGAGACAUAAUGGGUCCUGGUGUCAGAGGAAAUGAUGCUGCCGCACCAUACCAUCAUUUACUAGGUAAAAUUUUGGAGAAUUAGAAAACCUUGAUGGAGUUUGCUGCUGUGGGUGCUUUGCGACACCAAGUUAUGAACUGAGUUGCAAUGAAACAGAUGUGGCAAUGAACAUGAAAAAGCUUCAGUGAUGUGUCGUGUUGUAGAGAUUUGAUGAGAAUGGAUCUAGUACUGGUGAAGUUGCAUAGCACAAGUGUGUCUUAAUGACAGUGGAAAUGGGACCGCCACACCAUACCAAGAAUGUGGGGAAAAAUUUUGGAGAAUUAGAAAACCUGGAAGGAGUUUGCUGCUGUGGGUGCGUUG
Cryptotermes secundus is the source of this 559-nucleotide long non-coding RNA. RefSeq lists it as uncharacterized. NCBI's taxonomy places the organism in Eukaryota, Metazoa, Arthropoda, Insecta, Blattodea, Kalotermitidae. The record is from RefSeq and is a predicted model, not a curated record. The transcript is spliced from 3 exons.